UCCCUGGUGGUCCAGUGGUUAAGACUCAGCACUUCUGAUGCAGGGGUCAUGAGUUCAAUCUCUUGUCAGGGAA
Non-coding RNA from Bos taurus (domestic cattle), 73 nucleotides. The record is from Rfam. NCBI's taxonomy places the organism in Eukaryota, Metazoa, Chordata, Mammalia, Artiodactyla, Bovidae.